Molecule: transfer RNA, 65 nt
Filed under: Trimerodytes annularis (Red-bellied annulate keelback)
Lineage: Eukaryota; Metazoa; Chordata; Lepidosauria; Squamata; Natricidae
Description: tRNA-Tyr
Source: RNAcentral
GGUAGCAUGGCUGAUUUAAGCGGUAGUCUGUAAAAUUACGCAAAGGGUGAAUACCCUUACUACCA